RNAcentral lists this long non-coding RNA (958 nucleotides) under Olea europaea subsp. europaea. The record is from RNAcentral. Lineage: Eukaryota; Viridiplantae; Streptophyta; Magnoliopsida; Lamiales; Oleaceae.
CAAAUUAUCGAUCACAGAUUAACAAUUUUGAUGUCACACAUUAUUUUUCGAUCAUAAUUUAUUUUUUUCAUUGGUCACAUAUUAUUUAUUGGCAACAGAUUAACCAAUUUAAUGGUCACAGACAACCAAAUAAUUUGUGACCACUACAAAUACUUAUGAUUCACAGUCACAAUUUUCAGGUUACGUAUCUAAUUGUGAGUCACAAAUCAACCAAACCGUCACAACUACCGCCAUGACUACCACAACCACUGUCACGACCAACUGUGACUCCCAAAUUGUGUGUUACAAUUAGGAGUCACGAUCACAAUUUUAGGUUACGAGACUAAUUAUUUGUCACAAAAUCAACCAAAUCGCCACGACCACCACAACCACCAUAAAAAACCAUUGCAAAAUAAUACAAAAUCGUCGCCAGUUUACAAUUGCAGUAACCACUAUCACCAUCAACCCCAAACGUCACCAAAAACCCCAACGCCACCACCAUCAACAUCACAGUCAACAGCACUACCUUCUAUACCAAAAAUCACAACCACUAUCUCAAAUUACACUACAAUCACCACAUUCAACAAAAAAUGCCCAAAUCACCACUCCAACAACGACGUCGUCGCCUCACCUCUCCACAUAGUUGCAGUGGACCUCAGUUGAACCGGUAGAUCUAUUGCAACCAAUUGAGCCACCGACGAUGAUGGGCGCUUGUGGUGACUACCGCGCAGCUCCAUCACCGGUUGUCGAAUCUGAAUUGAUGAGAGGAGAGAGGAGAGAGGAGCGAGCAGCACACCAGUUGAGCUACCGACCGUUUGUCCGACGAUGACAAGUGCUUGCGGUGACGACCGACCGGAGCAGCUUCGUCGUCGAUUGUCGAAUCUGAAAUGAUGAAACGAGAGAGGAAGAGAGAGGGGCGAGCCGGUGGAGAGAGAGGAAAAUGAAAAUAAAUUAGGAUUGUAUAAAAUUUGUAUUAUAA